Salmo salar (Atlantic salmon) is the source of this 54-nucleotide non-coding RNA. The record is from Rfam. Lineage: Eukaryota; Metazoa; Chordata; Actinopteri; Salmoniformes; Salmonidae.
UCCACUCACUACUGUAAGUCUCUCUGGAUAAGAGCGUCUGCUAAAUUACUGAAA